Non-coding RNA from Syngnathoides biaculeatus (alligator pipefish), 608 nucleotides. NCBI's taxonomy places the organism in Eukaryota, Metazoa, Chordata, Actinopteri, Syngnathiformes, Syngnathidae. The record is from the annotation of a RefSeq genome assembly.
UGUCACUUGAUGACGUCAUCAGGAUGGAGCUUGAGUCACGUGACAGGAUUGUGGCGUGAGCGGGAGGGCAGAAGAGAAGAGCAGAGCUGACAAAGUCAUUCGACAUGUUGCUGUCUGCUUGGUCGCUGCUCGUCAUCGCCGUGGCAGGCGCCAGCGGUGACGAGUUGGAGGCAGUCACGAGCGAAGUGUUGGCCUCAGAAGGCGAACAGGUCACACUGUCGUACGAUUACGCCAAUAAAGCUGCAGGUUCUGAUUAUUUCUUCUGGUUCCGACAACUUCCUGGACAACCGCCCAACUUCCUGCUCUCUCACUUGGGAAGCGGCAGCCAGUUAAACGCCAAGUCAGGAAUGUCGGCGAGCGUCGCAAGUGACGGGAGGCGAGUGCACCUGCACAUCGAGGAUGCGACACUUGAGCACUCUGCAGUGUACUACUGUGCAGUGAGGCCCACAGUGACACAAGCGCCACGUUCUCCGUACCAGAACCCAAACGCAUCACAUCCCACUGCGCUGUCGUAGCUUACAAAAAGUCUCCACAUCCAUUGCGUAAAAUCUUUUCCGUUGUAUGAAUGAGAGCAUUUCUCACUGAAGUGUGAAAGGAUUUUAGUUUAU